GGUAGUCCACGCCGUAAACGAUGUCGACUUGGGGUGUGGUUGCCGUUAAGGCGAUUGCGUCCCAAAGCUUACGCGUAAGUCGACCGCCUGGGAACUACGAGCGCAAGCUUAAAACUCAAAGGAAUUGACGGGGCCCGCACAAGCAGCGGAGCGUGUGGUUUAAUUCGACGUAACGCGCAGAACCUUACCCAGGUUGGACAUGCAGCUGCACGCCGGUGAAAGCCGGUUCCUUCGAGGGUGCUGCACAGGUGCUGCAUGGCUGUCGUCAGCUCGUGUCGUGAGAUGUUGGGUUAAG
This 295-nucleotide ribosomal RNA is filed under the name uncultured bacterium. RNAcentral describes it as "partial 16S ribosomal RNA". It matches the Rfam family "Bacterial small subunit ribosomal RNA", at positions 789 to 1084 of the family's 1533-position model. The record is from RNAcentral.